This 300-nucleotide unclassified non-coding RNA is filed under the name uncultured Articulospora. RNAcentral's name for it is "sequence contains 5.8S rRNA gene, ITS2". The stretch from base 1 to 90 matches the Rfam family "5.8S ribosomal RNA", at positions 58 to 154 of the family's 154-position model. The record is from RNAcentral. Lineage: Eukaryota; Fungi; Ascomycota; Leotiomycetes; Helotiales; Helotiaceae.
AGAUGUGUAUAAGAGGCAGGUGAAUCAUCGAAUCUUUGAACGCACAUUGCGCCCCUUGGUAUUCCGGGGGGCAUGCCUGUUCGAGCGUCAUUAUCACCCCUCAAGCUCAGCUUGGUGUUGGGGCCUGCCCGUCACAGGGCAGCCCUUAAAAGCAGUGGCGGUGCCAUCUGGCUCUACGCGUAGUAAUACUUCUCGCGACGGAGUCCCGGUGGUGUCCUGCCAGAACCCCCAUAUUUUUAAUGAUUGACCUCGGAUCAGGUAGGGAUACCCGCUGAACUUAAGCAUAUCAAUAAGCGGAGG